AUAAACUGAUAUUUUAUUUUUUUACCUUUAAUUUGACCCUUCAUUUUAUUAAAAAAAUUUACGAUUAAUAUUUUUAGUUUUAUUAGAUGAUAGAUCAUGAGUAGUAUUUUACGUGUGACUAAUUUUAUUUUCAAUUUCUUAAAAAAUUUUCAAAUAAGAUGAACAGUCAAAUGCUGGACAUGAAAACCAAAAGUUUAUCUUAUU
Molecule: microRNA precursor, 204 nt
Filed under: Oryza brachyantha (malo sina)
Lineage: Eukaryota; Viridiplantae; Streptophyta; Magnoliopsida; Poales; Poaceae
Description: MIR812 microRNA precursor family
Rfam family: MIR812 microRNA precursor family
Source: Rfam by way of RNAcentral